Molecule: ribosomal RNA, 488 nt
Filed under: Enterococcus faecalis
Lineage: Bacteria; Bacillati; Bacillota; Bacilli; Lactobacillales; Enterococcaceae
Description: bacterial SSU rRNA
Rfam family: Bacterial small subunit ribosomal RNA
Source: RNAcentral
GACGAACGCUGGCGGCGUGCCUAAUAUAUGCAAGUCGAACGCUUCUUUCCUCCCGAGUGCUUGCACUCAAUUGGAAAGAGGAGUGGCGGACGGGUGAGUAACACGUGGGUAACCUACCCAUCAGAGGGGGAUAACACUUGGAAACAGGUGCUAAUACCGCAUAACAGUUUAUGCCGCAUGGCAUAAGAGUGAAAGGCGCUUUCGGGUGUCGCUGAUGGAUGGACCCGCGGUGCAUUAGCUAGUUGGUGAGGUAACGGCUCACCAAGGCCACGAUGCAUAGCCGACCUGAGAGGGUGAUCGGCCACACUGGGACUGAGACACGGCCCAGACUCCUACGGGAGGCAGCAGUAGGGAAUCUUCGGCAAUGGACGAAAGUCUGACCGAGCAACGCCGCGUGAGUGAAGAAGGUUUUCGGAUCGUAAAACUCUGUUGUUAGAGAAGAACAAGGACGUUAGUAACUGAACGUUCCCCUGACGUAUCUAACCAGA